This 497-nucleotide ribosomal RNA is filed under the name uncultured bacterium. RNAcentral describes it as "partial 16S ribosomal RNA". It matches the Rfam family "Bacterial small subunit ribosomal RNA", at positions 28 to 507 of the family's 1533-position model. The record is from RNAcentral.
GAUGAACGCUGGCGGCGUGCCUAAUACAUGCAAGUCGAGCGAACGGACGAGAAUCUUGCUUCUGUUAUGUUAGCGGCGGACGGGUGAGUAACACGUUGAUAACCUAUCUAUAAGACUGGGAUAACUUCGGGAAACCUGAACUAAUACCUGAGAAUAUUUUGAACCUCAUGGUUCAAAAGUGAAAGACGGUCUUGCUGUUACUUAUACGUGUAACCUCGCUGCAUUAGCUAGUUGGUAAGGUAACGGCUUACCAAGGCAACGAUGCAUAGCCGACCUGAGAGGGUGAUCGGCCACACUGGAACUGAGACACGGUCAAGACUCCUACGGGAGGCAGCAGUAGGGAAUCUUCCGCAAUGGGCGAAAGCCUGACGGAGCAACGCCGCGUGAGUGAUGAAGGUCUUCGGAUCGUAAAACUCUGUUAUUAGGGAAGAACAUAUGUGUAAGUAGAUGUGGACAUCUUGACGGUACCUACUCAGAAAGCCACGGCUAACUACGUG